RNAcentral lists this long non-coding RNA (617 nucleotides) under Homo sapiens (human). Its description in RNAcentral is "non-protein coding lnc-CARD14-4:1". The record is from RNAcentral. Lineage: Eukaryota; Metazoa; Chordata; Mammalia; Primates; Hominidae.
CGUGCGUACGUGCGUACGCGCGACGCGGCCACGCCUCUGGGGGACGGGGCACUCUUCGUCACGUGAAAGGGAACUGGGCGUUUGCCGCAGGGAAAAGUAAGGUGUUUCUGCUCUCGCGCCAUAUGCAGUUCCCGCGGGAUCUCGUUGAGGGCGGGGCACCCAGUUCCUUACGAAAGGGAUGGAGGGGGUGGUACUUCUAAAGUUGGCGGUGUUUCGUACCGGCCGCGGGAUUUCGCGGACUGGGGCGCUGAGGUUCUUUGAGCGGCGUGUGGACCUGAAUUCCCUGGAAACAGGCUGGGGCCGCGAGGGGCCUCCGCUCCGGGCGGGGGCCCCUGAAGCCGGCGUCCCUCUUAGGGGACGCGCCUGGGUGUGUCUUCACCGUUUGCCUGGUGAGUUGGAGACAGGGUCUCGCUCCGUCGCCCAGGCUGGAGUGCAGUGGUAGGAUCAGGGUUCAUUGUAGCCUCCGCCUCAGCCUCUGGAGUAGCUGGGACCUCAGGCGCGCGCCACCACGCCCGGCUAAUUUUUUAAAUUUUUUUGUAGAGACGGGGUUGGGGGAGGCGGGGGUUAGGGUUGUCCUGGCUGGUCUUGAACUGCGGGGCCUCAGGUGAUCCGCCUGC